UGCACAAUCUGUUCCACACUUGCACACCUUUGUACCGCGAGACUUUCAUUCACUCACAGCGAAAAAAAAAUGGAGUGCAGCGAAAGAAAAUAAAAAUUUGCCCUUUACGCUGCCGUUAGGCAAUAUUUGGUUGACGGGCUGGUGGAUGCGGCAUUGAAAAAAGAAGGUCUCACGAAUGGCUGCAAAUUUCGUUAUAAGAGAGAUAAAAGCUAUUAAGAAGUGAGGGAUGUGAGAUCUACCUGAAGCUCAGGUGUUCGGUGGUGUCCUGCAGCCUGGCCCUCUGCCCUGGAGAUCCUCUGCAGCGUGGCGCUUCCUCCUGAAGCAGCAGAUUGGGCUACCGGUCCCCUCCCUGGGUCUGUCACGCUGCUGGGCCUGUGCCGAGCCUAUGACAUCACUAGUGUGGAGUGGAAUAGGGUGGAGUGUCUGGCCACCGCUGCUAAACUCUGGCCUCCAGCUUUGCUGCCUUCACUGCUCUCUGGCGGUCUGCCAUCCUGGACUGGACUUCCUGCCAUCCUGGUUUGAUCCUCUGCCUCAGUCAUGGUUUUGCUUUCUCGCUCCGGCUUUAAACGUAUAUGACGUCAUCUAAUGCAGCAGCACUGCACAUGCAGAAUGAUCAUUGUAUGACAUCAAAGAUGUUAUAUGCUGAUCGUCUGCACGGUGCUGCUCCAAGUCGAACACACCUAUACAUCUCGCCCUCUGUUGGAAUUACAAAGCGCUAACUUCUGCCCACCACCUCUUAUG
This is a long non-coding RNA of Onychostoma macrolepis, 741 nucleotides long. RefSeq lists it as uncharacterized. The record is from RefSeq and is a predicted model, not a curated record. Lineage: Eukaryota; Metazoa; Chordata; Actinopteri; Cypriniformes; Cyprinidae. The transcript is spliced from 3 exons.